AGCUCCAAUAGCGUAUAUUAAAGUUGUUGCAGUUAAAAAGCUCGUAGUCUGACCCUUGGCGGGCACUAAGCGUCCGGGACGAAAGUCACGAGCACGCGAAGCGCUCUUGCCAUGUACUUCGGAGGAACGCGUGGGCUUUUCACUAAGCGCACGAUCGGGAUUCUGAUAGUUUACUUUGAGAAAAAUAGAGUGUUCAAAGCAGGCAUUUUCGCCUUGAAUACAUUAGCAUGGGAUAAUGAAAUAGGACAUUGGUUUUCCUAUUUUGAUGGUUUAAGGACCGAUGUAAUGAUUAAUAGGGACAGUUGGGGACAUUCAUAUUCUAUGGCUAGAGGUGAAAUUCUUGGAUUCAUGGAAGAUGAACUACUGCGAAAGCAUUUGUCAAAGAUGUUUUCAUUGAUCA
RNAcentral lists this ribosomal RNA (400 nucleotides) under phytoplankton environmental sample. RNAcentral's name for it is "partial small subunit ribosomal RNA". It matches the Rfam family "Eukaryotic small subunit ribosomal RNA", at positions 587 to 979 of the family's 1831-position model. The record is from RNAcentral.